GUGAGGAAUAUUGCGCAAUGGAGGCAACUCUGACGCAGCCAUGCCGCGUGCAGGAAGAAGGCGCUACGCGUUGUAAACUGCUUUUAACCGGGAAGAAACCCCAGGACGUGUCCUGGGUUGACGGUACCGGAGGAUUAAGCACCGGCUAACUUCGUGCCAGCAGCCGCGGUAAUACGAAGGGUGCAAGCGUUAUCCGGAUUCAUUGGGUUUAAAGGGUGCGUAGGCGGAGCGUUAAGUCAGUGGUGAAAUCCUGCAGCUUAACUGUAGACUUGCCAUUGAUACUGGCGCUCUUGAGUGCGCUUGAAGUGGGCGGAAUGUGCCGUGUAGCGGUGAAAUGCUUAGAUAUGGCACAGAACACCAAUUGCGAAGGCAGCUCACUAAGGCGAUACUGACGCUGAGGCACGAAAGCGUGGGGAUCGAACAGGAUUAGAAACCCUUGUAGUCC
This 445-nucleotide ribosomal RNA is filed under the name uncultured bacterium. RNAcentral describes it as "partial 16S ribosomal RNA". It matches the Rfam family "Bacterial small subunit ribosomal RNA", at positions 354 to 796 of the family's 1533-position model. The record is from RNAcentral.